RNAcentral lists this ribosomal RNA (428 nucleotides) under bacterium. Its description in RNAcentral is "partial 16S ribosomal RNA". It matches the Rfam family "Bacterial small subunit ribosomal RNA", at positions 355 to 776 of the family's 1533-position model. The record is from RNAcentral.
UAGGGAAUCUUCCACAAUGGACGCAAGUCUGAUGGAGCAACGCCGCGUGAGUGAAGAAGGUUUUCGGAUCGUAAAGCUCUGUUGUUGGUGAAGAAGGAUAGAGGUAGUAACUGGCCUUUAUUUGACGGUAAUCAACCAGAAAGUCACGGCUAACUACGUGCCAGCAGCCGCGGUAAUACGUAGGUGGCAAGCGUUGUCCGGAUUUAUUGGGCGUAAAGCGAGCGCAGGCGGAAGAAUAAGUCUGAUGUGAAAGCCUCGGCUUAACCGAGGUACUGCAUCGGAAACUGUUUUUCUUGAGUGCAGAAGAGGAGAGUGGAAUUCCAUGUGUAGCGGUGGAAUGCGUAGAUAUAUGGAAGAACACCAGUGGCGAAGGCGACUCUCUGGUCUGCAACUGACGCUGAGGCUCGAAAGCAUGGGUAGCGAACAGG